Molecule: ribosomal RNA, 476 nt
Filed under: uncultured bacterium
Lineage: Bacteria
Description: partial 16S ribosomal RNA
Rfam family: Bacterial small subunit ribosomal RNA (bases 20-301)
Source: RNAcentral
GAUGAACGCUGGCGGUAUGCUUAACACAUGCAAGUCGAACGGACUCUUCGGAGUUAGUGGCGGACGGGUGAGUAACGCGUGAGAAUCUGGCUUUGGGUUCGGGACAACCACUGGAAACGGUGGCUAAUACCGGAUGUGCCGAGAGGUAAAAGAGAAAUUGCCUGAAGAUGAGCUCGCGUCUGAUUAGCUAGUUGGUGGGGUAAAGGCUCACCAAGGCAGCGAUCAGUAGCUGGUCUGAGAGGAUGACCAGCCACACUGGGACUGAGACACGGCCCAGACUGGUGAGGGGGGAGGGAGGGGGGAGUAGGACGCGGCGGGAGAAAGCCGGGGGGAGGAAGGGGGGGUGGGGGAGGGAGGCUCAUGGGUGUGAAACCUAUGUUAGGAGGGAAGAAAAAACUGACGGUACGAAAGGAAGCAGGUCCGGCAAGCGACGCCACGGGAGCCGCGAUAACAAGGGGAAGAGACAACUCCCGAAC